UACAGAGGGUGCAAGCGUUAUUCGGAAUUAUUGGGCGUAAAGAGCGUGUAGGUGGUUGAGUAAGUUUGAUGUGAAAGCCCUAGUCUCAAGCUAGGAAGUGCAUUGAAUACUACUCGGCUAGAGUACAGGAGAGGUUAGUGGAAUUCCAGGUGUAGAGGUGAAAUUCGUAGAUAUCUGGAGGAACAACAGUGGCGAAGGCGACUAACUGGACUGUAACUGACACUAAGGCGCGAAAGCGUGGGGAGCAAACAGG
This 253-nucleotide ribosomal RNA is filed under the name uncultured bacterium. Its description in RNAcentral is "partial 16S ribosomal RNA". It matches the Rfam family "Bacterial small subunit ribosomal RNA", at positions 524 to 776 of the family's 1533-position model. The record is from RNAcentral.